UACAGAGACUGCAAGCGUUAUUCGGAUUCACUGGGCGUAAAGGGUGCGCAGGCGGCCAAGUGUGUUAGGCGUGAAAGCCCGGGGCUUAACCCCGGAAUUGCACCUAAAACUACAUGGCUAGAGCAUUGGAGAGGGUAGCAGAAUUCAUGGUGUAGCAGUUGAAAUGCGUAGAUAUCAUGAGGAAUACCAGAGGCGAAGGCGGCUACCUGGACAAUUGCUGACGCUCAGGCACGAAAGCGUGGGGAGCAAAAGGG
This 254-nucleotide ribosomal RNA is filed under the name uncultured bacterium. RNAcentral's name for it is "partial 16S ribosomal RNA". It matches the Rfam family "Bacterial small subunit ribosomal RNA", at positions 524 to 776 of the family's 1533-position model. The record is from RNAcentral.